RNAcentral lists this ribosomal RNA (430 nucleotides) under uncultured bacterium. RNAcentral's name for it is "bacterial SSU rRNA". It matches the Rfam family "Bacterial small subunit ribosomal RNA", at positions 355 to 775 of the family's 1533-position model. The record is from RNAcentral.
UGCGGAAUUUUAGAUAAUGGAGGGAACUCUGAUCUAGCGACGCCGCGUGCAGGAAGAAGGUCUUCGGAUUGUAAACUGCUGUGGUAAGGGAAAAAUGCUAUGUAGAGUGGAAAGCUACAUAGAGGGAUGGUACCUAACUAGAAAGCCCCGGCUAACUACGUGCCAGCAGCCGCGGUAAUACGUAGGGGGCGAGCGUUACCCGGAAUCACUGGGCGUAAAGGGAGCGUAGGAGGCCUAACAUGUCAACUGUGAAAACCCGGAGCUCAACUCAGGACUUGCAGUUGAAACUGGUAGGCUUGAGGACGGUAGAGGAAGACGGAACUGCCAGUGUAGGGGUAAAAUCCUUAGAUAUUGGCAGGAACGCCGGUGACGAAGGUGGUUUUCUGGGCCGGUUCUGACACUGAUGCUCGAAAGCCAGGGGAGCGAACGG